Molecule: long non-coding RNA, 470 nt
Filed under: Lactuca sativa (garden lettuce)
Lineage: Eukaryota; Viridiplantae; Streptophyta; Magnoliopsida; Asterales; Asteraceae
Description: long non-coding RNA (LSAT_LNC001525)
Source: RNAcentral
GCUACCAAUCUCAUUUUGGGGGUAUGCCUUAGAGACUGCCGCCCAUAUCCUUAAUCUAGUCCCUACAAAGAAGGUUGCCAAAACACCUCACGAGGUGUGGACUGGAAAAGUUCCCAAUCUAGACCACAUCAAGAUUUGGGGUUGUGAGGCUUUCGUGAGNGCUACCAAUCUCAUUUUUGGGGUAUGCCUUAGAGACUGCCACCCAUAUCCUUAAUCUACUCCCUACAAAGAAGGUUGCCAAAACACCUCAUGAGAUGUGGACUGGAAAAGUUCCCAAUCUAGACCACAUCAAGAUUUGGGGUUGUGAGGCUUUCGUGAGACGCGAGACUCACGAUAAGCUCGAACCCCGAAGCGAAAGGUGUAUUUUCAUCGGCUAUCCACAAAAAUCCUUUGGCUACAUCUUCUACAGACCCAGUGAUAAUGUGGUCUUUGUAGCAAGAAGAGGAUUCUUUCGAGAGAGAGAAUUCAUG